AGCCACGCGGUGAGCCCAAAGCAAACUAUUCUUUUGCCUUUUUACUAAAGAAUACUGUGUGCUCGCCGCAAAUAGCGGCAUACGCUAGUUUUUGGAGGGUUUUCUUCUGAAGAGGAAG
Molecule: small nuclear RNA, 118 nt
Organism: Alnus glutinosa
Lineage: Eukaryota; Viridiplantae; Streptophyta; Magnoliopsida; Fagales; Betulaceae
Product: U5 spliceosomal RNA
Exons: 1
Source: RefSeq, a predicted model, not a curated record